RNAcentral lists this transfer RNA (86 nucleotides) under Oscillospiraceae bacterium. RNAcentral describes it as "tRNA-Tyr". It matches the Rfam family "tRNA". From Rfam's summary of the family: Transfer RNA (tRNA) molecules are approximately 80 nucleotides in length. Their secondary structure includes four short double-helical elements and three loops (D, anti-codon, and T loops). The record is from RNAcentral. Lineage: Bacteria; Bacillati; Bacillota; Clostridia; Eubacteriales; Oscillospiraceae.
GGGUGUGUUUCCUAGCGGCAAUGGAGGCAGACUGUAAAUCUGCUGCGCUAUGCGAUUCGAUGGUUCGAGACCAACUACACUCACCA